AUGAGCGGAUUUGCUAGAGGCGGUCGACCAGUGGAGGUGAGGAGGUUAUCCCCGAUGCCCACAUUCCCGAUGCUCGUCUUUUCCUCUCCCAAGUGGCUGCUAGGGUUGCCCCCGCCAUCGCCGCCCCCAUCCCACCUCCUCCGGCGCUGCCCAUCUCCCUUGAGUAGUGCGGUCUGGCGCUCAGCUACGAGGGCAAGGAUCCCCAGCCGCACCAUCCACGUCCUUGCCGUUGUGAUCGCCGCGUCGGGAAGGCAGCACGAACACGCGAUUAGAGGAUCCAGGAGGUUGGUACAUGAGGACGUGGGAAACCAAUGA
This 315-nucleotide ribosomal RNA is filed under the name Triticum aestivum (bread wheat). RNAcentral describes it as "partial small subunit ribosomal RNA". The record is from RNAcentral. Lineage: Eukaryota; Viridiplantae; Streptophyta; Magnoliopsida; Poales; Poaceae.